This 429-nucleotide ribosomal RNA is filed under the name Chloroflexota bacterium. RNAcentral's name for it is "Chloroflexi bacterium partial 16S ribosomal RNA". It matches the Rfam family "Bacterial small subunit ribosomal RNA", at positions 355 to 776 of the family's 1533-position model. The record is from RNAcentral. Lineage: Bacteria; Bacillati; Chloroflexota.
UGGGGAAUAUUGCACAAUGGGCGCAAGCCUGAUGCAGCCAUGCCGCGUGUAUGAAGAAGGCCUUCGGGUUGUAAAGUACUUUCAGUCGGGAGGAAGGUGUCAAGGUUAAUAACCUUGGCAAUUGACGUUACCGACAGAAGAAGCACCGGCUAACUCCGUGCCGGCAGCCGCGGUAAUACGGAGGGUGCAAGCGUUAAUCGGAAUUACUGGGCGUAAAGCGCACGCAGGCGGUUGAUUGAGUCAGAUGUGAAAUCCCCGGGCUUAACCCGGGAAUUGCAUCUGAUACUGGUCAGCUAGAGUCUUGUAGAGGGGGGUAGAAUUCCAUGUGUAGCGGUGAAAUGCGUAGAGAUGUGGAGGAAUACCGGUGGCGAAGGCGGCCCCCUGGACAAAGACUGACGCUCAGGUGCGAAAGCGUGGGGAGCAAACAGG